AGUUUGAUCAUGGCUCAGGAUGAACGCUAGCGGCAGGCUUAACACAUGCAAGUCGAGGGGUAUUGGUUUUCGGACCAAGAGACCGGCGCACGGGUGCGUAACGCGUAUGCAAUCUACCUUUUGCAGAGGGAUAGCCCAGAGAAAUUUGGAUUAAUACCUCAUAGUAUAGUACUUUGGCAUCAAGGAACUAUUAAAGUCACAACGGCAAAAGAUGAGCAUGCGUCCCAUUAGCUAGUUGGUAAGGUAAUGGCUUACCAAGGCUACGAUGUUUAGGGGAUCUGAGAGGAUGGCCCCCCACACUGGUACUGAGACACGGACCAGACUCCUACGGGAGGCAGCAGUAAGGAAUAUUGGUCAAUGGGGCGGAAGCCUGAACCAGCCAUGCCGCGUGCAGGAAGACGGCCCUAUGGGUUGUAAACUGCUUUUGUACCGGAAUAAACCCUUUUACGUGUAAGAGGCUGAAUGUACGGUAAGAAUAAGGAUCGGCUAACUCCGUG
RNAcentral lists this ribosomal RNA (497 nucleotides) under uncultured bacterium. RNAcentral's name for it is "bacterial SSU rRNA". It matches the Rfam family "Bacterial small subunit ribosomal RNA", at positions 10 to 507 of the family's 1533-position model. The record is from RNAcentral.